AAUUUAGUUUAUGCUUUGAUUAUAGUAUAAAGUCAGAGACUUCAAAGGCUAACUGAAUGCGCUGAUUAUCAUUAAAACAACUCCAAAUCUUUUCACAAAAAAAAUAACAACACAAGCUAUUUUCUAAAUGUAAAGAUUAUAGAAAACCUGUAUGAGCUUCAACAAAAAUUAAAAUAGAAGAACAAAAUAGAACUUCCAGUAAUAAUCUUAUUUAUUAAAAAUGUUUGCAAUUUAAAAAAUAUAAAAAAUGAAAUCGAAACAUUUCAAUCGCAGUUAAAUUUUUUCUAAAUUUUUUUUUUACCAUUCAGCACACUUUUCUCAACACUGGGCACUCAAUACACACAUUGACUGAAGGGGGAUUACGGGAGGGUACAAGAUAAUUAAGUGUUUCCACUCCUUCAAGCGUCCCAACUCUAUUUGCACUUUAAUCAAUGGUCACUCCCAUUCGGUAAUUUUCUUCUCGAUUCUUUUUACUCAGCAUUUUUUUCACUCCUUGCUUUUUGUCUCGCUUCGUUUGAAUAUAUAUUUUUGGGGGCAGCGGCAUGGUGAAGGGAGGUCAGCAGUUGACACUUUGCAUCUUGUGCAAUCACCAAAUAUUGUCAGAGGAUGUCAACGUCGUUUUCGUCGCAGUCGGCAUCGGCGUCAGCUCCAACUUUGUAUCGAAGUUUGCACACAAUCAGUAAAAUAUUUUGGCCAUCCUUCGGGGACGACCUCAUUUCGUCUUUGUCGUUGUCAGUUGAAUGCUGGAGGGGAACGAGUCGAGGAUGUGGACGUGGACGUGGACAAGACGACGCUUCGUCGCCUGCUCGGGACUCUUCAAUGUUUUUCUUUUAGCCCUGCACAUUUUUCCGUUUUUUAAUCUUUUGCCUUUCGCUUCUGGUUGCUUUCUAAGCCUUGCCCCUUUCGAUGCUCCGCCAAGCCGGAGUCCUGGUCUAGCUGAGGGCAAACUUUUUGGCGUUUCAUCUGCAGCACAUCAAUUUUUGUUGCUGACGAGCAAAAGUUGCAAUACUCUAAGUCCAAGGCAAUGCCAAAAGCUAGCCACCCACCCACUACACCACGCCCUCCAAUGCGAAUAUUAUUCUACUAUUGGGUCGCAGGCUGUCCUUCCGGCUGUCUACUGAUUGACGGCGACUGACAAGUUUCUCUUCGACUGCGCAUUGACUUUUCUUUGCAGUCGUUGCAUUUUACGAGUAUGUUCCAAGUUCCAACUUGGCUCCUGUUCAGGCCCAGGCAGGCUACGCAGACAAUUUCAGUAAAUAUCUAAUCCUUAAGUAUAUGGCAGGAAGCGUCAGCCCUCUGAUGUGCAUGUGUUUUGGACCUGGCUAUGUGAAAUUCUGUCGCUUCGUUGCAUAACAUCGUGCCUGCCAGACAUCGCAUUCGCAGCUAACACCCCCAAGCUGCUAGCCCGCCCCACUGGGAACUGGGUAGCCCAAGGAGCUUUUGCCUGUUAUUUGCUGGUCACUUUGUCAGUCUUUCAGUCAGUGCAGUUGCACAAAACUGUCUACAUUGAGCCCCAACAACAAUGACAGCCAACAGACACGAGUCCUUAUUACAUCUUGGCGACAAGCUCCUUGACCGUAUUUUCUUCCUUUUUUAAUUUUCUACAUAGAUUUUGCAUGUUUCACUAACAAGUUGCAAGUAAAUUUCGAUUAAACUAUUUCUUUUCUUAUCAACAAUUUCGGUAUCAUCUGAAUGAACUUGACUUGGCUAAGAAUUUUGAGAAACUUUAAAGUUCAAACUAAUCCCCAAAAAGUACAGAGGAAUUUCGAAAUAACGAACGCAGAAUUUACAGACUUUUUUUUUUAGAAAAUAAAGCUAUCUGAAACUACAACAAACCAGACACUAAAAAAAAGAUAUUACAAAUUACAUUCAUAGCUACUCUGCCAUUUCUUCAACUACCCAACGUUUAUCAACACUGGAAGUCCACAUCAAUCAAUAUGUAUACGCAAUGAAAAAUACAUAGCAAAAUGUAUCAGGAUAAGAGAAGUUGUAGAACUCUCAAGAGUAAGAGAGAGAAGAAGAGAGAGCGAUGGAGGGAGAUAGCGAGGGGUCAAGAGAUGAAAAGAAAUACGUUGGCUACUUUGUGUGGAGCAGAGUUCAAACCUCAAGCUCAUUGCUUAAACUUUUCAACCGACUAAAACCCAAACUCAAACUUGAAACUUCAACUCGGACGUGCAUGUGGACGUACAACAUAUAGCGCAUCAGUCAAAAAUUGUUCUUGCUUGUCAUCAGAGACGUGCCACGUCCGCGUGCAGCGUGGCAGAGGGAAGCAGUUGGAAAAAAGAUGAGGAAAUGUUGCAAAAGCACAGAAGAAACUUUGAUGCUGACCACAAGAUAGGCAAAUCGGCAAGAAAGUUAACCGAAACGAGCAUACCCUUUCUGAUUAGAAAGGCGAAGAAAUUAUAAGUGCUUAAAAUAUUGUACAAAGUGCUAAGGAUUGUAUUAAAUCUCAACCUUCUACAUCAUUCGGCUCCAGCUAUACACCAUGAUUGAAACGCCUCAAUGGCAACUUUUUACGAUAUUGCCCUAGUGGCAAUACAAUUACAUUAGCUCUUAUAUUCCACAUUAUUCGGCUCACGCCGUACAUGAUGUUGGAAACAUCUUUAAAUUAAGGUGCCUAUCAAACCUUCCACAUCUUUCGGCUCAAGCUAUACAUCACGAUUGAAACGCUUUUAAGGUGAGGGUAUUUAGCACACAGCAUCUAUAGCCAGAACACACAGGAAGUCCAUAUGUGUAGCUUCUGGUUAGUUUCCUAGUGGACGCCGCAUUGAUGAGGGCCACGUCAAUAAAAUUGCGGGCGGGUUGGAGGUUGGUGGUUGGACGUUUUGCGAGAUGGAAGCUCGACAUGAAACAAAAUGUCUAACUAAGAAGUAUAAAAGAAAUGCGCCACGUCAGACUAAUCCUUGCGCCAUCAUAUUACAGCAUCGUCGGGACGACUGCUUCAGCUUCAGCUUCAGCUACAGCUACAGCCCAAGAGCCAAGAAAACUUGUGAAUAUUGUGCAGGAGGCGCUCGACUCCUCGCUCCAUCUUCGUCUCGCCUUGCCUCUGGCAGCGCCCUCCGCAUCAGCCAGUGUGUCAUGGAAGCCAUCAAUCGUUUUGUUGAAAUGUGCAAUAAAAGAAAAGUCAUGAAAA
This is a non-coding RNA of Drosophila virilis, 3133 nucleotides long. The record is from RefSeq and is a predicted model, not a curated record. Lineage: Eukaryota; Metazoa; Arthropoda; Insecta; Diptera; Drosophilidae.